RNAcentral lists this ribosomal RNA (468 nucleotides) under uncultured bacterium. RNAcentral describes it as "partial 16S ribosomal RNA". It matches the Rfam family "Bacterial small subunit ribosomal RNA", at positions 28 to 507 of the family's 1533-position model. The record is from RNAcentral.
GACGAACGCUGGCGGCGUGCUUAACACAUGCAAGUCGAACGGAAAGGCCCUGCUUUUGUGGGGUGCUCGAGUGGCGAACGGGUGAGUAACACGUGAGUAACCUGCCCUUGACUUUGGGAUAACUUCAGGAAACUGGGGCUAAUACCGGAUAGGAGCUCCUGCUGCAUGGUGGGGGUUGGAAAGUUUCGGCGGUUGGGGAUGGACUCGCGGCUUAUCAGCUUGUUGGUGGGGUAGUGGCUUACCAAGGCUUUGACGGGUAGCCGGCCUGAGAGGGUGAACGGCCACAUUGGGACUGAGAUACGGCCCAGACUCCUACGGGAGGCAGCAGUGGGGAAUAUUGCAGAAUGGGCGGAAGCCUGAUGCAGCAACGCCGCGUGCGGGAUGACGGCCUUCGGGUUGUAAACCGCUUUCGACUGUGACGAAGCGUGAGUGACGGUAAUGGGUAAAGAAGCACCGGCUAACUACGUG